CUAGCGGUUUGUUCUAUUGUGUUUUGUGUAGUUCAGUGUCCACUUGGGCGGAACUCAAGUUUUACAUUUGGCAUGUUAGACAUGUCAAGUAAUGCACAGGUAUAAUGCGCUGUUCUGCCUUCACUGCUGUUUGCUUUCUUUAUCUUUGUGGUUUUCGAUCAGGGGUUGUCUGUACUUUACCUCAUGUAGAAGAGUUUGAUGUGGUGAGACCUCAAAGACUGAGUGUCUCUGUCAGGAGCCUCUUCAAACAGGUCCAGUCUAAUAAAAGAUCCCAAAACCAAGAGUUAUUUCCUGAUCAACUUGCGUAUUUUUUAUUCUUUGGAGGGAGAAAUCACAGGAUUCGAUUGGAGAAGAACAGUCAACUCAUUGCCCAAAACUAUACUGAAAUCUACUAUCAAGAUGAUGGAUCUAUUGUAAGCAGCAAGCCAAAUUUAAAGGACAAUUGUUAUUAUCAUGGCCACAUUGAUGACGUGGUGGACUCCUCAGUCAGUGUGGAAAUCUGUUCUGGGAUCAGAGGUUUUAUUAGGGUCAAACAGCAAAUGUACCUGAUUGAGCCUCUGACCAAUCACAGCGAUGGAGAUCAUGCCAUCUAUAAGCAGGAACAUCUAAAGAUGAAAAGAAAAAAGAGAAGCACUUCUUCUGAAUCAAAAAUCACCUUUUACGACCACGAACCGCCAGUGUUUGCCUCUUUAAAGUACAACAGAUGGAAAAGGAAACGUUUUCACACCCCAAGAUUUGUGGAAUUGUUUCUGGUGGUGGAUAAUCAGGAGUAUACAAACUAUGGGUCAAAUAUGGACACUAUCAGAAAAAGAAUGCUAGAGGUUGGAAAUCACAUUGACAAGUUGUAUCGACCUUUAAAUAUCCGGGUUCUGCUGGUGGGUUUAGAGGUUUGGAACACACACGAUCAGAUUGUUGUCAGUGUGAGUUCAGAUGAAACUCUCAGUCGGUUUAUCGAGUGGAGAAAAAAAAGUUUGCUUACACGGGUCAAAUAUGACAACACUCAGUUUGUGACUGGAAUUGAUUUUUUGGGUGACACAGUCGGUUACGCAGACAAAUUUGCAAUGUGCACUGAAAACUCAGCAGGUAUCAACCAGGAUCAUAACCAAAACCCACUGGGAUUAGCAUCCACUAUUGCACAUGAGAUGGGCCACAACAUGGGUAUGUCCCAUGAUACAGAUGAUUGCACAUGUGACUCUACCAACUCCAUCUGUAUCAUGACAGAGCGUGUUGGCAACCUGUUUCCGGACCGGUUUAGUGACUGCAGUCUGGAGCAGCUCAGUAUGUUUCUGGAUAACGCCAACCCAAGUUGCCUGCUGGACAUUCCCAGCUCAGACAAACUUUAUAGCGGGCCAGCGUGCGGCAAUGCUUUCUUGGACCCGGGAGAGGAAUGUGACUGUGGAAACGUGGAGGAAUGUGAAAAUCUGUGCUGUAAUGCCACAACCUGCAGGCUCACUGACGGCUCACAGUGCGCUCAAGGAGACUGCUGUGAGAAUUGCAAGAUUAAAGAUGCUGAGAGUUUGUGCCGUGAGCCUGCAAACGAGUGUGAUCUUGCAGAGUACUGCACAGGACUGUCAGAGCAUUGCCCGGAAAAUGAGUUUAACAUGAAUGGCAUUCCCUGCAAUUUUCAUCAGGGUUACUGUUACAAUGGUCGAUGUCCCUCUCACCUCCAGCAUUGCCAAAGUCUUUGGGGAGCAGAGGCCGUAAAGGCACCUGAUGCAUGUUUUGUCCGAAACACAUUCGGCAAAAAUGAUUCUCACUGCGGAAAGACAGAAAAUGGUUACAGAGCCUGUACCAAAGAAAACAUGUUUUGUGGAAAGAUAUUUUGCUACGGAGGAAACGAAUACCCUGUUACAGGUAGGAAAGCUAUCAUCAAAACCUUUACAGGGGUAACAUGUAACAUAGCUGGAGACUGGACAGAGGAAGACACCCUCAGCAUGGUGCCUACUGGAACAAAAUGUGGAGACAACAAGGUUUGCUAUGAUUUUAUGUGCCAAGACCUGAAUGUUUAUGGCAGGAAUGAAAACUGUUCGCUGAAAUGCAAUGGAAGAGGGAUUUGUAAUCAUAAGAAGCAAUGCCACUGUAACCCUGGUUGGGCGCCACCAUACUGCGAUGUGAAAUAUUCUGAAUUGGCACACAGUUUAGAACGGGUAAGGGUGGUUGGCAUCUGUGUUGCUGCUGCAUUCAUUUUUCUCUUGCUGGUAUUUGGAGUUUUUGGAGUGUAUUAUUAUAAAAGGAGAAAAGCCAUCAGUCACAAGACCAAAGAGUUAUCAUCAGGACAGCUGACUCUUCUUCAUAAAAGCAGCGCUGUCAGGAGGAACCCCACCGAAAUCAGCCAACCCAUAUUCAUGGAAAGCUCUGUGACUCGACCCUGCACCCCAAUAACUGCUAGAACGACUCCGACACGUCCUGCCCCUCCACCUCCUAAAAAGCCUGUAACCCAGCCACGGCAGACCCUAGUAACCCAGGGCAUCAAGUCAACCCCUCCACCUGUUCCUCCACUGAAACCAUCUCUAGCAAAAGGAUCCUUUAAGACAGAUCAAAUGGACACAGGAGACGCAGUGAAGGUGGCGUUACGACCUCCCACCAUCCCAAGAAGAUGAGCCGGAGUGAAAUCAUCGCGUGAUUCAUUUGAACAGAUUACAGUCCUUCAGUGUUAAAGUCUGUGGGGAGCUGAAUCACAAAGUGCGUUUUAAGCCCAGCCCUAUAAAACACAUACACACUGUUUGUUUAAGCUUGGACUGUGAGCUGCCGUUGACAAUGCUUUAAAAAUGCUUGAAUUCAUGUCUGAUACAUGGAAAAUAUUUAUAAUAUUUUUAUUUUUAUUUAUUAUAAUGUUUUAUUAUUACAAAUCUGGACAUGUGAUUAGGAAUAUAUUCAAAAGACCAAACUGCUUUAUGAGUUACAGACUAUUCUUUAGAUAUGUACAUAUUUAAAUCUUAAUAAAGGUGAUUUUUUUAUUCCUUAAAUAAAAUAAUAAAAGUUUUAAAUGACAAUUCUUACACUCCCAAAAUAAAUGUACAAAAGUUGUCAAUUAACACGUCAAGAUUUUAUUAUUCAAUAUAUUUCUAAAGGUGCUAUUGACAUGAAUUUUUUACCACGUUGAUAACAACCCAUGCAAAGAAAUCAGGCAAAAUGAUAUAGAAAACCAAGGCAGUCAGAAAGCAAUCCUGCCCCCUGUCAGUGCAAAUAAUAACAGCUGGUUCAGUCCCAACUGAUAGCUUAUAAAGUAGUGUCUCAUUACCAAGGUGUCAUGCAAGAAACAUCUCAUGAUGGGUAAACCCUGACCCAAACACAGUCAGGGAAACUCUCAAUUGGUUUCAGAGAAAGUAAAGCUCCUAGAAUGGCCAAGCCAAUAUCCUGACUUGAAUUAAAAUCUAUGGAAAGACCUAAAGGUCAGAGUUCAUAGAAGAGGACCAAAGAGCUUUCAAGAAGUGAAAACUGUUUGUGUGGAAGGAUUAAAGGGUUAAAAUCACACCUGAGCAAUGCAUGCAACUAGUUUCUCCAUACAUGAGGCAUCUUAAGGCUUUCAUUACCAACCAAGGCUUUUGUACAAAGUAAUAAAUACAUUUCAGUAAGCAUAUUCAAUACCUUUUUUAAAUCUUUACACAUAAUGUUUGGAAAUCUGUGGUUUAAUUUCUUUGGAUUGCAUUGGUUAUUACAAACAUAUGGCGAAUAUUUCAUACACUCUAAAAACCGUUGGGUUAUUUGUUUUACCCAAUAGGUGGGUUAAACGUAUUGGGUUGUUCUGUUGGGUUAUUCCUAGCUUGUAUUGGGUUAUUUCCAUAACAACCCAGAGAGUUGGGUUAAAAUCGGGCUCACGUCACGCAUUUUGAAUUUCAACGGUUGACCGGUGCCACUGCUGAGUGCGGACAGACACGAGAGACAUUCUUGGAGAUGUUGCAUUAAAAACCUUACAAAAUGGCCAGCAAGAUGGUUCAGCCUUCCUACAGUACCAAGAGGCAAAGCAAACAUUUAUUAAUUUGCAACCUGUAAG
Non-coding RNA from Paramisgurnus dabryanus, 3994 nucleotides. NCBI's taxonomy places the organism in Eukaryota, Metazoa, Chordata, Actinopteri, Cypriniformes, Cobitidae. The record is from RefSeq and is a predicted model, not a curated record.